CCUACGGGCGGCUGCAGUGGGGAAUAUUGCACAAUGGGCGCAAGCCUGAUGCAGCCAUGCCGCGUGUGUGAAGAAGGCCUUCGGGUUGCAAAGCACUUUCAGCGGGGAGGAAGGCGUUAAGGUUAAUAACCUUGUCGAUUGACGUUACCCGCAGAAGAAGCACCGGCUAACUCCGUGCCAGCAGCCGCGGUAAUACGGAGGGUGCAAGCGUUAAUCGGAAUUACUGGGCGUAAAGCGCACGCAGGCGGUCUGUCAAGUCGGAUGUGAAAUCCCCGGGCUCAACCUGGAAACUGCAUUCGAAACUGGCAGGCUAGAGUCUUGUAGAGGGGGGUAGAAUUCCAGGUGUAGCGGUGAAAUGCGUAGAGAUCUGGAGGAAUACCGGUGGCGAAGGCGGCCCCCUGGGCAAAGACUGACGCUCAGGUGCGAAAGCGUGGGGAGCAAACAGGAUUAGAUACCCUUGUAGUC
This 465-nucleotide ribosomal RNA is filed under the name uncultured Klebsiella sp. RNAcentral describes it as "bacterial SSU rRNA". It matches the Rfam family "Bacterial small subunit ribosomal RNA", at positions 338 to 795 of the family's 1533-position model. Lineage: Bacteria; Pseudomonadati; Pseudomonadota; Gammaproteobacteria; Enterobacterales; Enterobacteriaceae. The record is from RNAcentral.